GGACUACCCGGGUAUCUAAUCCCGUUUGCUCCCCUGGCUUUCGCGCCUCAGCGUCAGAAGAGAUCCAGUCCGUCGCUUUCGCCACCGGCGUUCCUUCGGAUAUCAACGCAUUUCACCGCUCCACCCGAAGUUCCACGGACCCCUACCUCCCUCGAGAUCUCCAGUCUCCGAGGCACUUCCCCAGUUGAGCUGGGGGCUUUCACCCCGGACUUGAAGACCCGCCUACGCGCCCUUUAAGCCCAGUGAUUCCGAACAACGUUCGCACGGUUCGUCUUACCGCGGCUGCUGGCAC
RNAcentral lists this ribosomal RNA (292 nucleotides) under uncultured Planctomycetota bacterium. RNAcentral's name for it is "uncultured planctomycete partial 16S ribosomal RNA". The record is from RNAcentral. Lineage: Bacteria; Pseudomonadati; Planctomycetota.